RNAcentral lists this ribosomal RNA (253 nucleotides) under uncultured bacterium. RNAcentral describes it as "partial 16S ribosomal RNA". It matches the Rfam family "Bacterial small subunit ribosomal RNA", at positions 524 to 776 of the family's 1533-position model. The record is from RNAcentral.
UACGUAGGGCGCAAGCGUUGUCCGGAAUUAUUGGGCGUAAAGAGCUCGUAGGCGGCCAGUUGCGUCUGCUGUGAAAUCCCGGGGCUCAACCCCGGGCGUGCAGUGGAUACGGGCUGGCUAGAGGCAGGCAGGGGAGAACGGAAUUCCCGGUGUAGCGGUGAAAUGCGCAGAUAUCGGGAGGAACACCGGUGGCGAAGGCGGUUCUCUGGGCCUGUACUGACGCUGAGGUGCGAAAGCGUGGGGAGCAAACAGG